GACGAACGCUGGCGGCAUGCCUAACACAUGCAAGUCGAACGAGACCUUCGGGUCUAGUGGCGCACGGGUGCGUAACGCGUGGGAACCUGCCUUUAGGUUCGGAAUAACUCAGAGAAAUUUGAGCUAAUACCGGAUAAUGUCUUCGGACCAAAGAUUUAUCGCCUUUAGAUGGGCCCGCGUAAGAUUAGCUAGUUGGUGGGUAAAGGCCUACCAAGGCGACGAUCUUUAGCUGGUCUGAGAGGAUGAUCAGCCACACUGGGACUGAGACACGGCCCAGACUCCUACGGGAGGCAGCAGUGGGGAAUAUUGGACAAUGGGCGAAAGCCUGAUCCAGCAAUGCCGCGUGAGUGAUGAAGGCCUUAGGGUUGUAAAGCUCUUUUACCCGAGAUGAUAAUGACAGUAUCGGGAGAAUAAGCUCCGGCUAACUCCGUGCCAGCAGCCGCGGUAAU
This 449-nucleotide ribosomal RNA is filed under the name uncultured bacterium. RNAcentral describes it as "bacterial SSU rRNA". It matches the Rfam family "Bacterial small subunit ribosomal RNA", at positions 28 to 524 of the family's 1533-position model. The record is from RNAcentral.